UGAAAAGCUGAUUGCUGUUGAAGUCAGUGUUUUGUUCUGAGAAACAUGAAACACUGGGAGCAGCUGAUCUGCUAGAGAGGGCAAUCUCUUGCACUAUAUUCUCCUGAGAUGAACCUAAGACUGGAGAAAGAGAUUAAAUAGCCCACAAGUCACCUUAGCCUGACCUUAGCCACUUGCUACAAUAAUGUGAACUGCUUUUGGAUUUUGCUGCCUGUUUUGAUAUCAAUCCUCCUUUGUGUUUUGACAGAUACUAUUGAAAAAGAGAACUACUUCUUGGCCAAAUACACAUUCAGCAAAGGAAGCCUGAAGACAGAAAUAGUUAAAAAUGGCUACCGUGGAGCUGACACUCUGAAGUACAACAAAAUUACCAUUCUUGGCCUGAAGCUGAGACCUCAAGCUGUGUCUCUGAAUGGAAGAUCCAUCCGUGGAGAUGCUGUGUCUUAUGAGAUGAGUGGGAAACUGGUGUUGCGGAUUUCUGCUCCACUUACCCAGGAACUCAACAUUAAGUUCUACUAGAAUGGUCAGAACACACUGACUUAAUUUAACACCCUUGACCCUCAGAUAUUGAUCUCACUUUAUUUUAAUGUGAAAAAAAUGCCAUUAAAACAUUUCAAAUGCACCUGAUGACUGAUCUUUUCUUAUGUGGUAUUUGUAACUCAGUAUUCCUCA
Molecule: long non-coding RNA, 669 nt
Filed under: Ficedula albicollis (Collared flycatcher)
Lineage: Eukaryota; Metazoa; Chordata; Aves; Passeriformes; Muscicapidae
Description: lncRNA (ENSFALG00000017695.2)
Source: RNAcentral